RNAcentral lists this ribosomal RNA (395 nucleotides) under Rhipicephalus sanguineus (brown dog tick). RNAcentral describes it as "partial 16S ribosomal RNA". Lineage: Eukaryota; Metazoa; Arthropoda; Arachnida; Ixodida; Ixodidae. The record is from RNAcentral.
UUUACAAAGGUAUUGAAAUAAGAUUUUAAUUGAAUGCUAAGAGAAUGGAAUUUCAGAAAAAAACUUUUUUCAAGUUAAAAAUUGAAAUUUUUUUAAUUUGUGCAGAAACAAUUAUUAAUAUUAAGGACAAGAAGACCCUAUGAAUUUAUAAAUUUUAUUUAAUAUGUAACUACUAUUGAAAAAAUUUUAGCUGGGGCGGCGGAAAAAUAUUUAAAACUUUUUUAAAAUAAAAUGACCCAUUAUUAAUGAUUAUAUGUUAAAUACUCUAGGGAUAACAGCGUUAUAUUUUUUGAUAGAUCAUAUUGACAAAAAAGUUUGCGACCUCGAUGUUGGAUUAGGAUACUUUUUUAAUGCAGAUAUUAAAAAAAGAAGUUUGUUUCAACUUUUAAUUUCCU